Molecule: non-coding RNA, 298 nt
Organism: Delphinapterus leucas (beluga whale)
Lineage: Eukaryota; Metazoa; Chordata; Mammalia; Artiodactyla; Monodontidae
Source: RefSeq, a predicted model, not a curated record
GGAAGUUUGGAUACAAUGGAAUCCAGAAACGGGCUUGACACAGACGCUUUGCCUUCUACUGAGUUGUGUCGGCUCAUUGGAUACAUCCGCAGAGAACCUACCGCCUCUCCGGGGCAGGUAAACGCACGUUCUUCAGCUGGUCACUGGAGGGGUAUUUGAUGACGCGUCCAGCCUCCUUCUGAGACCCGCUGUCAUCCACAAAUGUCCCUCUCGGGCAGAGCCCGGGAUUCAGCCCAGCAGAGACCUUAUUUCAAGUCAUUUGCCUGCUCACAACACCUACAAGAAAAGAGGAAAUUAC